Molecule: ribosomal RNA, 397 nt
Filed under: uncultured bacterium
Lineage: Bacteria
Description: partial 16S ribosomal RNA
Rfam family: Bacterial small subunit ribosomal RNA
Source: RNAcentral
AUACGUAGGGGGCGAGCGUUGUCCGGAAUGACUGGGCGUAAAGGGCGUGUAGGCGGCCGAUUAAGUCUGGAGUGAAAGUCCUGCUUUCAAGGUGGGAACUGCUUUGGAUACUGGUUGGCUUGAGUGCGGAAGAGGUAAGUGGAAUUCCCAGUGUAGCGGUGAAAUGCGUAGAGAUUGGGAAGAACACCAGUGGCGAAGGCGACUUACUGGGCCGUAACUGACGCUGAGGCGCGAAAGCGUGGGGAGCGAACAGGGUUAGAUACCCUGGUAGUCCACGCGGUAAACGAUGAAUGCCAGGUGUUGCGGGUAUCGACCCCUGCAGUGCCGGAGUAAACACAAUAAGCAUUCCGCCUGGGGAGUACGGCCGCAAGGUUGAAACUCAAAGGAAUUGACGGGG